ACGGAGGUUUUUAACGGUACAUAUAUACACAUCUUCUAACGUAUGUAAGUCCUUUUACUUAGUUUUUAGGAUUUUAGAUUAACAGUCCGUACAUGCCCCACGAGCAUACUAUAUCGAGCGGCCGCACCAACAUGUUUACACGUAGCACCUAAGAUGUUAGUAGAUACUAAGGGUUUCCUUCAGUCGUUUCCUUUAAUGUUCAACGCCCCUGCUGUCUCUUGUCCCCUCCUACCUACCUCGUAGCCACUAAUGGAGGCCUGCUCUCUCCUUUUUAUCCACGACCACUAAGGGGAGAUAUGGCCGCUACCAUACGUCGAGGACAGCGUCCGCUGCAUCUAGCGUCGUGCGUGACGACGGCCACGACCACGAAGGGCAGCUCGGACUGCUGUCACACGUCUAGGAGCAGCGUCGUUGGAGCACGCACGUUGUGUAGGUAGGCACGACGACGACGGGGUAGCUCGAUCAGCGGUCACUCGUUGGGAAUGUGCGUCCGGCCCGUCGAGUACCGCAGCAGCGCGUCCGGCUACGCAGGGUCGGGGGCCACAAAGACGGACUGCCGACAGCUGGUACAUGUCCUUACUUCAGCGUUCCCUGCUCGAAGCACCCGGCGACGCCGGCGGCCAGGACGGUUCUCCUUGCCCGCAUCUCGCGCAGCGGCCCCUACCGCGCGGCACGUCCAGCGCAGCGACACCUGGAGGAACACGCCUCCCGCCGCGUCGCCUCCGCUC
RNAcentral lists this ribosomal RNA (728 nucleotides) under Triticum aestivum (bread wheat). Its description in RNAcentral is "partial small subunit ribosomal RNA". The record is from RNAcentral. Lineage: Eukaryota; Viridiplantae; Streptophyta; Magnoliopsida; Poales; Poaceae.